RNAcentral lists this ribosomal RNA (582 nucleotides) under uncultured bacterium. RNAcentral's name for it is "bacterial SSU rRNA". It matches the Rfam family "Bacterial small subunit ribosomal RNA", at positions 354 to 946 of the family's 1533-position model. The record is from RNAcentral.
GUGGAGAAUCUUGCACAAUGGGCGAAAGCCUGAUGCAGCCACGCCGCGUGAGGGACGAAUGUCUUCGGAUUGUAAACCUCUUUCAGUCGUGAAGAAGCGCAAGUGACGGUAGCGACAGAAGAAGCCCCGGCUAACUACGUGCCAGCAGCCGCGGUAAUACGUAGGGGGCAAGCGUUGUCCGGAAUUAUUGGGCGUAAAGGGCGCGUAGGCGGUCCACUAAGUCGGAUGUGAAAUCCAGGGGCUCAACCCCUGAACUGCACCCGAUACUGGUGGACUUGAGGUAGGUAGAGGAGAGUGGAAUUUCUGGUGUAGCGGUGGAAUGCGCAGAUAUCAGAAGGAACACCGAUGGCGAAGGCAGCUCUCUGGGCCUUACCUGACGCUGAGGCGCGAAAGCAUGGGUAGCAAACAGGAUUAGAUACCCUGGUAGUCCAUGCCGUAAACGAUGGGCGCUAGGUGUGGGGAUCAGUUCACGAUCUCCGCGUCGAAGCUAACGCGUUAAGCACCCCGCCUGGGGACUACGGCCGCAAGGCUAAAACUCAGAGGAAUUGACGGGGGCCCGCACAAGCGGCGGAGCAUGUGGCU